RNAcentral lists this ribosomal RNA (253 nucleotides) under uncultured bacterium. RNAcentral's name for it is "partial 16S ribosomal RNA". It matches the Rfam family "Bacterial small subunit ribosomal RNA", at positions 524 to 776 of the family's 1533-position model. The record is from RNAcentral.
UACGUAGGGUCCGAGCGUUGUCCGGAAUUAUUGGGCGUAAAGGGCUCGUAGGCGGUUCGUCACGUCGGGAGUGAAAACUCGGAGCUUAACUCCGAGCCUGCUUCCGAUACGGGCAGACUAGAGGUAUGCAGGGGAGAACGGAAUUCCUGGUGUAGCGGUGGAAUGCGCAGAUAUCAGGAGGAACACCGGUGGCGAAGGCGGUUCUCUGGGCAUGACCUGACGCUGAGGAGCGAAAGCAUGGGGAGCGAACAGG